CCUACGGGAGGCAGCAGUGAGGAAUAUUGGUCAAUGGACGCAAGUCUGAACCAGCCAUGCCGCGUGCAGGAAGACGGCUCUAUGAGUUGUAAACUGCUUUUGUACGAGGGUAAACGCAGAUACGCGUAUCUGUCUGAAAGUAUCGUACGAAUAAGGAUCGGCUAACUCCGUGCCAGCAGCCGCGGGAAUACGGAGGAUUCAAGCGUUAUCCGGAUUUAUUGGGUUUAAAGGGUGCGUAGGCGGUCGGAUAAGUUAGAGGUGAAAUCCCGAGGCUCAACUUCGGAAUUGCCUCUGAUACUGUCCGGCUAGAGAGUAGUUGCGGUAGGCGGAAUAUAUGGUGUAGCGGUGAAAUGCUUAGAGAUCAUACAGAACACCGAUUGCGAAGGCAGCUUACCAAGCUACUUCUGACGUUGAGGCACGAAAGCGUGGGGAGCAAACAGGAUUAGAUACCCCGAUAGUC
Molecule: ribosomal RNA, 460 nt
Filed under: uncultured bacterium
Lineage: Bacteria
Description: partial 16S ribosomal RNA
Rfam family: Bacterial small subunit ribosomal RNA
Source: RNAcentral